AAACCAACAGGGAUUGCCCUAGUAACGGCGAGUGAAGCGGCAACAGCUCAAAUUUGAAAGCUAGCCUUCGGGUUCGCAUUGUAAUUUGUAGAGGAUGCUUUGGGUAAAACGCCAGUCUAAGUUCCUUGGAACAGGACGUCAUAGAGGGUGAGAAUCCCGUAUGUGACUGGAAAUGUUAACCUAUGUAAAGCUCCUUCGACGAGUCGAGUUGUUUGGGAAUGCAGCUCUAAAUGGGAGGUAAAUUUCUUCUAAAGCUAAAUAUUGGCGAGAGACCGAUAGCGCACAAGUAGAGUGAUCGAAAGAUGAAAAGCACUUUGGAAAGAGAGUUAAAAAGCACGUGAAAUUGUUGAAAGGGAAGCGCUUGCAAUCAGACUUGUUUAAACUGUUCGGCCGGUCUUCUGACCGGUUUACUCAGUUUGGACAGGCCAGCAUCAGUUUCGGCGGCCGGAUAAAGGCAUUGGGAAUGUGGCCUUCACUUCGGUGGAGGUGUUAUAGCCCAGUGUGUAAUACGGCCAGCCGGGACUGAGGUCCGCGCUUCGGCUAGGAUGCUGGCGUAAUGGUUGUAAGCGAC
Molecule: ribosomal RNA, 571 nt
Filed under: Aureobasidium leucospermi
Lineage: Eukaryota; Fungi; Ascomycota; Dothideomycetes; Dothideales; Saccotheciaceae
Description: eukaryotic LSU rRNA
Rfam family: Eukaryotic large subunit ribosomal RNA
Source: RNAcentral